GACGAACGCUGGCGGCGUGCUUAACACAUGCAAGUCGAGCGGUAAGGCCCUUUCGGGGGUACACGAGCGGCGAACGGGUGAGUAACACGUGGGUGACCUGCCCUCAGCUCGUGGGAUAAGCCCGGGAAACUGGGUCUAAUACUGGAUAUGACUCCAUGACGCAUGUUGUGGGGUGGAAAGCCUUGUGCGGCUGAGGAUGGGCCCGCGGCCUAUCAGCUUGGUUGGUGGGGNGAUGGCCUACCAAGGCGACGACGGGUAGCCGGCCUGAGAGGGCGACCGGCCAC
RNAcentral lists this ribosomal RNA (284 nucleotides) under uncultured bacterium. RNAcentral's name for it is "partial 16S ribosomal RNA". It matches the Rfam family "Bacterial small subunit ribosomal RNA", at positions 28 to 311 of the family's 1533-position model. The record is from RNAcentral.